GACGAACGCUGGCGGCGUGCUUAAUACAUGCAAGUCGAACGGGAAUCUCGCCUUCGGGUGAGAUUUCAGUGGCGGACGGGUGAGUAACGCGUGGGCAACCUGCCCUCUAGUCUGGACAACAGUUCGAAAGGACUGCUAACACCGGAUAAUGUCAUCUCGCGGCAUCGCGAGAUAAUUAAAGUUUUACGCUAGAGGAUGGGCCCGCGUCCCAUUAGCUAGUUGGUGAGGUAACGGCUCACCAAGGCGACGAUGGGUAGCCGACCUGAGAGGGUGAACGGCCACACUGGGACUGAGACACGGCCCAGACUCCUACGGGAGGCAGCAGUAGGGAAUUUUCCGCAAUGGGCGAAAGCCUGACGGAGCAACGCCGCGUGAGGGAUGAAGGUCUUCGGAUCGUAAACCUUUGUCUAGAGGGACGAUAAUGACGGUACCUCUGGAGGAAGCCACGGCUAACUACGUGCCAGCAGCCGCGGUAAUACGUAGGUGGCGAGCGUUGUCCGGAAUUACUGGGCGUAAAGGGCGUGUAGGCGGCUUUUUAAGUCAGAUGUGAAAACCCUGGGCUUAACCCAGGAACUGCAUUUGAAACUGGAAGGCUUGAGGACCGGAGAGGGCAGUGGAAUUCCCAGUGUAGCGGUGAAAUGCGUAGAUAUUGGGAGGAACACCAGUGGCGAAGGCGACUGCCUGGACGGCACCUGACGCUGAGGCGCGAAAGCUAGGGGAGCAAACGGGAUUAGAUACCCCGGUAGUCCUAGCCGUAAACGAUGGAUACUAGGUGUGGGAGGUAUCGACCCCUUCCGUGCCGCAGUUAACACAAUAAGUAUCCCGCCUGGGGAGUACGGCCGCAAGGUU
This 849-nucleotide ribosomal RNA is filed under the name uncultured bacterium. RNAcentral's name for it is "bacterial SSU rRNA". It matches the Rfam family "Bacterial small subunit ribosomal RNA", at positions 28 to 895 of the family's 1533-position model. The record is from RNAcentral.